GCCUCAGUAGUGUAAUGGAAAGAAUGGCAGACCUGAUAUCUGUAAGUGAGGGUACGAGUCCCGCCUGAUGUU
Molecule: transfer RNA, 72 nt
Filed under: Dictyocaulus viviparus (bovine lungworm)
Lineage: Eukaryota; Metazoa; Nematoda; Chromadorea; Rhabditida; Metastrongylidae
Rfam family: tRNA
About the family: Transfer RNA (tRNA) molecules are approximately 80 nucleotides in length. Their secondary structure includes four short double-helical elements and three loops (D, anti-codon, and T loops). Further hydrogen bonds mediate the characteristic L-shaped molecular structure. tRNAs have two regions of fundamental functional importance: the anti-codon, which is responsible for specific mRNA codon recognition, and the 3' end, to which the tRNAs corresponding amino acid is attached (by aminoacyl-tRNA synthetases). tRNAs cope with the degeneracy of the genetic code in two manners: having more than one tRNA (with a specific anti-codon) for a particular amino acid; and 'wobble' base-pairing, i.e. permitting non-standard base-pairing at the 3rd anti-codon position.
Source: Rfam by way of RNAcentral